AAGUAUAAAGAUCUCUUCUAAACUCCCUGCUAUGUUUAAGUCGUCAACAUGAACUACAACUAUUGCAAGCCCAUAUUCUAUUUUUUGUAACACCCCAAACCCGGCCUAGACGUUAUGGCCGAAUCUAGCUAUGUCACAUUGGUGGGAUUUUGAAAAUGGAGCUAACACGAUAAAAACCUUAAGCUUAUAAACCUAUAAUUGCUUUCAUUUAAUUCAAAACAUAUAUUCAAUUAGUCGACUUGCCUUAAAAAGUAUCAUUUUAGCGGAAGCUUAGGAAAAUUGUCGUGUUUAAGGAAAACAAUUUGCAUUUUAUUUUAGAAAUUCAUGGUUUAGGUUAAACCAUCAUAGUAAUAAACAAAUUAAUUCCAAACCCAAAACCAAAGCCAAACAGUUUAAAAGAAUCUAGAGAGUCCUAGAAAAUACAACCUCUCAAAACUCAAUGCCAAAACUUAAAUAAAACAGUAAAACAAAAUUAAAUAGUAAUAGGAAGUGGUCACUAUCGAGUCCUCCGCUGCACCGAUCCGUCUAACUCUAUGGAUUACCUGUACAGAACAAAUAGAGAAGGGGUGAGUUUACGUAAACCUUAGUGUGUAACCCGCAGAAUUAGACAUGUACACAUACAAAAAUUCAAAACCAUACAAACAUAGAUUCGGGCCUAAGCCCAUUUUAGAUUCAGACAUGGAUGUGCAAAUCAGAAUCAGAAAUUAGAUUUCUACCCCUAUCCUCUACACACCAUAUCCGUCCAUCCCUACACACCAUGUGGGAUUUGAAAUACCCACCCAGCCCUACAUAUCAUAUUUUACCGAUGCGGUACAUAACAGAUAUGAUGUAGCAAUGCUGCUAGAUAAUAGCCAUAAAUUGCCUUUCUGUAGCACCCCAAACCCGGCCCAGAAGUUAUGGCCGGAUCCGGCAUGCCACAUCAAAAACGUUAAAAAAAAAUUUCCAUUCUAAGUCCAGAAAGUCGUACUUGAUGUUCAAAAGAUUAAUUCAUUAAGGAUUAAAGUGAAUGGAAGCUGUGCACCAGGUAGGAAACUGGAAAAGAGGUGGUGAGUCCAUCGGACUGCUUAAGUACCAAGCUCCCUUCGGAUCCAAUCCUAGACAUGCAUACCGCCAUUGCCACACCUUAACGUCAUGGAUAUUUCUAGGAAACCGAUUUGAUUAAGUCAUUUUUAGGAAAAGUGAUUAAUUUUGGAAAAUACUUUCAUUGCGGAAGCUUUGCUUGUUGUCGUGUUAUUUUGAAAUAAACUAUUGUUUUUGAAAACGUGCCCUAAAGCUAUCCAAUUUCAACAGUUAAAAUAAGUAUUACCUAUCUUAGUAAUACAUAUUAAAACCAUAAAAAAUAGUUAAGCGGCCUUAUUACAUUUAAAAACCCAAAACUUCAAUCGUAAAUAAAAGGAUGUCCAGUUCACCAGAAGAAAAUCAAACUUUCAGAACGAGUGGCCACUCCGAAUUCUCUCACAGCUCCAAGCCCACUAUGGUUGGGGAUUUCCUGCGUGGAUGAAAAUAAAAGGGGUGAGUUUGGGGAAACUCAGUGUGUAAAUUAACCCAACCAUAGCCUAUAUCAGCUCAAACCACAGAAAUAGAAUAAGUUGGCCUUAGCCCAGAACAGAAUUCAGAAUAAAGCCCAUAGGCCCAUAACAGAACAGAACAGAUAUUACAUGUUUAUGCAGAAACCCAACCAUAUCCAACCGUAUACACCCCCGUACCAACCUUACACCAUGUGGGGAGACAACUCGACCCACCCAACCGCUACACACCACAGAAUUUGUAGCAUGGCUGCCAGAACAGAUAAUGUGACAGAGUCACCAGAUACAGAUAAUCGUGGCAAAGCCACCAGAACAGAUAUAUGUGGCAGAGCCACCAGAUCAGAUAUUUGUGGCAGAGCCACCAGAUCAGAUAUUUGUGGCAUAGACACCAGAACGCUUCCUCCAUAAUAUAACCCAUGUCCCCAUGCAACAGAUAUAUAAUCAUGGCAUACAUCAUACAGAAUCAGAUCGUCAUGCUUUUCAGUCAAAAUUAACCCUAGGGGUAUAACGGUAAUUUUGCACCUAGGGGUAUAACAGUAAUUUUCCAUACAUAGGGGUAUUAUAGUAAUUUAGCUACUUUUAGGGUUUUCAUGCAUAUCCUAACUAUUUAUGUACUAUCAGAACACUUACCGCGCAUACUUACCGAAUUGGGCCCGUUGGCCUAUGAACCCGAUCUUUUGCCCAUUAAGCCCAAAUUAUCAAAAUGUACGAAAUCGCGCGUACUGCAGUUUAUUACUUUAGAUUACCAAAUAUACAAACCCAACUAUCUUACAAGCAUUCGCACACUCGCAAAUUCCCAAAAUACCGACUUUUCGGCAUUUCGGCUUUUCGGCUUUUGCCAAUCUAGUCUAUGAGAGGGUGUCAGUUACACACCUAUUUGCGACGAUAUGCUGACGAGAUCCACACACGAACCGCCUACAAUUGGAUUACUAACACGUUAAUCUAACUAUUCAAAUACAAACUACGUAUUAACCCCUUACAAUAUUCGGCCAACCACACCUACAGAUCAUAGUAAGCUUAUAAGAAAUCAAUAAGCAACUCAUUAACAAAUUUUGUCAAUGUUUACCACAUAAUCAUAAUUUCACUGCAAGCUGUCUUCCUGAGCAACAGUCACUAAAUUAUUUAUAACUGGAGCUACGAAAUUCCAAAUCAAGUGCCGUUAAUUUUCCCUGAAAAUAGACUCAUAUAUAUUCUAUCCAUAAAAUUUUCAGAAUUUUUUGUUUAGCCAAUAAAUACCAGAUUUUUCUCAAAGUUUCCCAUGUUUCACUGUUUGACUAAUCUGACCACCCUUCAUUACGAAUCAAAUUUCUCAUUUUACAGAAUUCAAAAUAUGUUCUUGUUUAUUUCAUUAGAAACUAGACUCAAUAAGCUUUAAUUACAUAAUUUAUUCAGCUUCUAACUCAUCUUCCACAAUUUAUGGUGAUUUUCCAAAGUCACGUUACUGCUACUGUCCCAAGCAGAUUUAUUACCAAAUCACUCUUUCACACCUAACUUGCAUGCUUGUUAUUUAAACAUGUAUAUCACCAAUCAAUCAUCAGAUAUCUAUGAUUUUACUUAAGUAUAAUCUCCAUUUCAUCAUUUUAAAGCACAACAUGUUAGCUGAUUUUUCCCUUUAACAUCUAAGGCACAUGCAUGCUUAUUUGUUUGGCUCAACUUCACCUAUCUUCCAUUCUUCAUCAAAAGAACAUGAAACAACAACCAUUUCCUUCAUUUUAAUUCAUGACUAAAUGCUCACAACACAACUAAAAAUCAAAAUAUACUUCAACAGUUAAGGUAGAAUCAAGAAGAACUCAUGAACCUCAAAAUAGAAGCAAGGUACCAAGAACUAUUACCUUCAAUAUUCCUCCUCCUAAUGACCAAAUACUCAAGAGCUUUCUCCUCUCCUUUCUCUUCUCUAACUUUCAGCUAUGAUGAACAAAGAUGGACAAAACUUUGUUCUUUUCACCCCUUUUUCUUUUAAUAAAACUUCAUAUUUCAUCCAUUUAAUUCUUUAAUACAAAAGACAUGAAAUUCUUAUCAUGAAACAUUUACCUAACCCAUUAUCAUGGAACAUUUACCUAACCUAUUAUCAUGAAACAUUUACCUAACCCAUUAUCAUGGAACAUUUACCUAACCUAUUAUAAAGGAACAUUUACCUAACCUAUUAUCAAUUUGUAUCAAUUUGUACCAUAAAUUAUGGAUAUCAAGUGUACAUUUUGUCUAUAACAACAUGAUGGCUGGCCACUUCAUGUAAAAUGGGAGGUUUGUCAUGCAAAUCCUCCUAUUUUGCACUCCUAUUUAUUUGGCCACUUCAAUUUAGCCUAUAGCAUUUUCAAACAUUUU
RNAcentral lists this long non-coding RNA (3848 nucleotides) under Gossypium barbadense (sea-island cotton). RNAcentral's name for it is "long non-coding RNA (GBAR_LNC009417)". Lineage: Eukaryota; Viridiplantae; Streptophyta; Magnoliopsida; Malvales; Malvaceae. The record is from RNAcentral.